RNAcentral lists this long non-coding RNA (4473 nucleotides) under Homo sapiens (human). RNAcentral's name for it is "HSALNT0304791". The record is from RNAcentral. Lineage: Eukaryota; Metazoa; Chordata; Mammalia; Primates; Hominidae.
AAAUCCCCUUUGUUUUAUUGUAUAUAGUAAAACUCUUUUAUUAUAUGUAAUAAAACUACUGAGAGCUGCUUUUCAGGAUGUGCAAAAGACCCUCAAGUUCCAACUAGUCUUAGAGAAACUGCUUGACGUGGUGCCAAUUUAGCUGGUCACUAAUUGGCCCAGUUUGUUCUCUCUGUUUGCAUAGGCUAACUUAACAGUAGCAUUUCUUUGAAUAAAUUUUAAGCCUCACCAUGGAAUAAAGAAUGAAAACAAGGCUUCUGUCAAUGUAGGAGUAAAUUUUAUCAGUUGAUGAAACUAUUUACUGUUAGAAAAUUGGUAUAUAGGAAAACAAUGUGUUAUGUUGGAGUCUGAGUUGCCAGGUCAACAGAAAACAAAACAAAACAAAAAAAAAACCAACCUCCACUCCAAACGUUUAACUAAAGAGAGAGGUAUGAGCCAGGGUCAAGACAUCUAGAAAGGGUGAGGAGAGGCUCUACCAGCAGGAAGCUCUUCCCACCCCAGUGUCUGAAGGGCAGCUGACAAGAGAAUCUCACUGGAUUUAUGGAGGAGAGACUACCUAAGGGGAGCAGUAAAAAUGAGAGUGCAGCUCUGCCCAGAUGGCCAUGUGAAGUUGGAGUGGGCCAGGAUUCCCCCAGUUGGACUCUCACAUACCUGUGGACCUCAAGUGCUCCUUCAUAUGUGUUUUCAAUGAACUUCAUCCAAACCACAUCAAAUGGCUGUGUAUAACACUAAGGAAAUGUCAUAUUGUCUCCUAGUCCUCUACCAUGUCUUUUACACACACUGAAGAUCAUGUGAAGAAAGAGAGAAGAUGGUCAUCUAUACACCAAGUUAAACGACCCUCAGAAGAAACCAACCCUAUGGACAACUUGAUCUUGAACUUCUAGCUUUCAGACCUGUGAGAAAAUAAAUUGCUGUUGUUUAAAUUUAAAAAAACAGUCUUUUAAAUCAUGUAUGAAACAAAGUGUUGUUACAAACCAUUGUUAUAAUAGUACUAGCUUUUGUAAUUGCCUAUUUGUCCAUCUUUACUGAGAUCUUUAUUUCUUCAUAUGGCUUUGAGUUACUGAGUAGUGUCCUUUUAUUUCAACCUGAAGAACUCCCUUGAGUGUUUCUCUUAGGGUAUGUCUAGAAGUAACAGAUUACCUUAGCUUUCGUUAAUCUGGGAAUGUUGUAAUUCUCCUUCACUUUUGAAGGACAAUUUUUACCAAAUAUAGAAUUUGGGGUUGAUAUUUUUAUUUAUUUUAGCACUUUGAAUAUAUCAGCCCACUGCCUUUUGGUCUCCAGUAUUUAUGAUGAGACUCUCUUUUUUUAAUCUCAUAAUUUACUAUUUAUUAUUUUUAAAUGUUUCUAGAGAUAUACAGUAAUUAAACAUAUUUGUGGGAUACACAUGAUAUUUUGAUACAAGAAUAUACAAUGUGUAAGCUGUAUAUUCAAUAUACAAUCAGUGAUCAAAUCAGGAUAUUUAUUAGGAUAUACAUCAACUUGAACAUUUAUCAUUUCUUUGUGUUGGGAGUAUUUUAAAUCUUCUUUACUAGCUUUCAUGAAAUAUAAAAUAUUGUUAACUAGUCAUUCCACUGUGUUAUCAAACACUAGAACUUAUUCCCCCAUCUGCACUAUAUCUUUGAACCUAUAAUCUUAUUGAUGAUCUUUUUAUGUGAUGAAUCACUUUUCUAUUGCAACUUUCAAGACUCUGUGUUUGGCUUUUGACAGUUUGAUUAUAUUGUGUCUCAGUGUGGAUCUUUUUGAGUUCAUCCUACUUGGAGUUACUGAGUUUCUUGAAUAUUUUUACUUAUGUCUUUUAUCAAAUUUGUAAAGACUUUGGCCAUCAAUUCUCUUAAUAAUCUAUCUUUCCUGUUUUCUCUUCUGUUUCUUAGCCUACCACCACACGUGUUGUUCUGCUCAACAGUGUUCCAGAAGUCCCUUAAGCUCUGUUCACUUUUCUUCAAUCAUUUUACUUUCUGUUCCUCAGAUUCAAUGAUUUCCUUUGUCCUAUUUCAAAUUUGUUGAUUCUUCUUCGUUCUCAAAUCAGCCUUUGAAUCUCUCUAGUGAAUUUUUUAUUUCAGUUAUAACACUUUUUAGCAUCAAAUUUAUUGUUUCUUCAUAGGUUUUCUAUAUGUUUGCAAAUAUUUCUAUUUUGUCCUUAUGUCAUUUUCUUGGCUUUUUCUGCAUCUUUUGUUAGCUCUUUCAGUAUCUUUAAGAUAAUUGUUUUUGUUUAGUAGAUCUGACAUCAGGUCUUUUUCAGGAGCUGCUUCUUUUUUUCCCAUUAAAAUGGGCCACACAUUCCUUUUCUUUUGUAUGUCUCUUGAUUUUUUUUGUUAAAAAUGGACAUUUGAAGCUAAUGAUUUGAUAACACUGGAAAUUAGGUUCUCUCCCUUCCCUGGGGUUUACUGGGCUUUUGUUUUUGGUUUUGUUUUUUUGUUGUUGUUGUUGCUUACUGUUUUUGUUUUUUUAAUUGUUGUAGGCUGUCUCAGUGCUGAGGGUUAGCCUGAGCUUAAGGUUAGGCUAACCUGACCUUAAGGUAAACUUAAGGUCUUCUCAGGUCUUUCUGAGCCUGUGCCUUUCCCUGGGCAUACAUAGUCACCUUCCAAUAUCCCCCAUAUAUGCAGUCACUUCGGAAUGUCCCAGUCUCUAAUGGAUGGCUCCCAAAAGGGGAAAAGAUAAAAAUUAAGGAGAAGAAAAAGAAUGCUGGGUUUUUAAGUACCCUGGAAGUCACCUCAGCGAGAGAGGGGCUAGCAAUAAUGAGGGUGGGGCAAUAGCAAUGGCCACCUGCCUCUUUGUCUGUACUUCUGUGAUGAGAAGCAGCAAUUAAUAAUCACAGCACAAAUACUUGGAGGACUGGGUCCUUAUUGCCCACCCUGGCUCCCACAAGCUGUAUGCAGUCUUCUUCAGGUCAUGGGCACAGCUGCCUGCCACAGGGCUGGGGCGGUCAAUAGGUAGUUACUACUGUGCUGAGUCUAAGUUGACCAAAACUAACUGAAAUUUACUUCUAAGACAUUCCCUGGAAGUUGCAAGCCUUCAAUAGACUCCAGAAUUCCAAAAUAGUUACAUCAGGCAGAUUCUGCCAGUGCAGUUGUUGUCUGGAUGGGUAAACAGAUUCCUGGAGCUUCCUAUUUCAGCAUCUUGCCAGAAUCUUCUCCCUAUGUGUAUUUAUUUUAUCACAUCUUGAGAUAGUUUUUGUUUCAGAACUUUGCUAUCCACUAUGCUGAGUAGAACUUCAAGAGCUGUCCCUGUGUCUAAUAGACUAGAAGUGGUAGAUUUCAGCCUGGGAGUACACACUGCGGUCACAACCAUCCAUAUGGCAGGAAGUAGUCUACUGAGUUUUUGGCGGCCAUGAUUCUUUGGCAUUUCUGGUUUGGUGGUCGUUGAUUCCUAAAUAUUAAAGUGGUUCCCAGCAUGUAUCAGUUGUUUGUUUGCUAAAUGACCUUAAAUGUUCUGAUACUUGCAGAAAUGAAAAAAGCUAGUUUCUCUGUCAAUAAGACUCUGAUCUGAAUGUGAAUAAAUAUGCAUGAGCAGUAACUUAAUGCACAUCUGGAAAAUAUGCUUUGUUAGAAAUCUAUCACUAUUUUUUUUAAUUUGGAGAGUUUUUCUCAAGAACAAUAGAAUGUAAUAAAAUUUAAGGAAGUGCAUUUUACAAAAAGUAUCAAAGACUUUAUUAAACAUCAACUCUUUACUUGAAGAAAUAAUGUUGUUUAAAAAAAUCAAUCUUGUGAAUUGUCUCCUGGGAAGUUUGUCAGUGAUUUCUUUCUUUCUUGUUCUUUUUUGUCCUUAUAUAAAGUAACCAAGCUUUAUUCCUAUAAGCUGUAAAUUUUAACAGAAAGCAGAUUCACAUGUAUUUAUUAACAUUCCUAAAUUCUCAACACCACUUAUUAAUCCCUUAAAAACGAUUGCUUCUUUAUAUGAAGAUAAUGGUAGUCAUAAAGACAUACAUUAUAGUUUCAUUAUGAUGUUUGUGCUUUGUCUCAAGUUUCUUCUGAAAUGCCUCCACUGAGUUAGGUGAUAAUGACAGCACUCAGACACACAGCCCAGAGGAAGGGGACAAAGGAAUCCCAGGAAAGAAGUAGGAAAAGGUAUUUGGUUAGAAUUUAAAGUCAAGUGGAGGAAUCAGUGAACCAGAAAACAGACAGGGGAGGCUGCUUGUUCAUCUGGAGCUUACAGCAGCAGCAGGAGUUGGAAUUCACAAAGCAAAUGGCUGAGAUGGGGGUGCCGGAGCACAGGAGUGACAGACCAGGGUAGGAUGCAGCAGCCUCUACUCUGGGAAGAGGGUCCCAGCCACUACUGGGCACCAUCUCCUUUUGAGGGGUGGACCCACGCAGCAUUUAAGGAGGAAGCCCAGUAGAUCUGGUUAAUUAACGUGGUAAUGGGACUCCCUAGAAUUUAAGUCCAAAGCAUGGUGUGAUUUUCUUUGUUGAGCUACCACAUAUUGAAGUUCAGGAAAGAAACCACCCAGUUGAUAUAGCAAUAGUAUACAAAACCUGC